This 28-nucleotide small RNA is filed under the name Bombyx mori (domestic silkworm). RNAcentral's name for it is "ovarian small RNA-4164". The record is from RNAcentral. Lineage: Eukaryota; Metazoa; Arthropoda; Insecta; Lepidoptera; Bombycidae.
AAAACAACCAUGGCCGGUCAACAUUUGC